GANACUCGUCAGUGGCGGACGGGUGAGUAACGCGUAGGAAUCUAUCCUUGAAUGGGGGACAACCGUGGGAAACUACGGCUAAUACCGCAUGAUGCCUGAGGGCCAAAGACGAAAGUCGUUUGAGGAGGAGCCUGCGUCUGAUUAGGUAGUUGGUGGGGUAAAGGCCUACCAAGCCCUACGAUCAGUAGCUGGUCUGAGAGGAUGAUCAGCCACAUUGGGACUGAGACACGGCCCAAACUCCUACGGGAGGCAGCAGUGGGGAAUAUUGGACAAUGGGCGCAAGCCUGAUCCAGCAAUGCCGCGUGGGUGAAGAAGGUCUUCGGAUUGUAAAGCCCUUUGGCGAGGACGAUGAUGACGGUACCCGCAGAAUAAGCUCCGGCUAACUUCGUG
This 390-nucleotide ribosomal RNA is filed under the name uncultured bacterium. RNAcentral's name for it is "bacterial SSU rRNA". It matches the Rfam family "Bacterial small subunit ribosomal RNA", at positions 84 to 507 of the family's 1533-position model. The record is from RNAcentral.